This 433-nucleotide ribosomal RNA is filed under the name uncultured bacterium. RNAcentral's name for it is "partial 16S ribosomal RNA". It matches the Rfam family "Bacterial small subunit ribosomal RNA", at positions 29 to 507 of the family's 1533-position model. The record is from RNAcentral.
AACGAACGCUGGCGGCAUGCCUAACACAUGCAAGUCGAACGAGACCUUCGGGUCUAGUGGCGCACGGGUGCGUAACGCGUGGGAACCUGCCUUUAGGUUCGGAAUAACUCAGAGAAAUUUGAGCUAAUACCGGAUGAUGUCUUCGGACCAAAGAUUUAUCGCCUUUAGAUGGGCCCGCGUUGGAUUAGCUAGUUGGUGGGGUAAAGGCCUACCAAGGCGACGAUCCAUAGCUGGUCUGAGAGGAUGAUCAGCCACACUGGGACUGAGACACGGCCCAGACUCCUACGGGAGGCAGCAGUGGGGAAUAUUGGACAAUGGGCGAAAGCCUGAUCCAGCAAUGCCGCGUGAGUGAUGAAGGCCUUAGGGUUGUAAAGCUCUUUUACCCGAGAUGAUAAUGAUAGUAUCGGGAGAAUAAGCUCCGGCUAACUCCGUG